ACUCCUGUUCUUGGCAGGCCCCGGCCGCCCCGUGCCUGGGUCUGUGAUGUCCGGAGGUAGAGCAGUGACUCUU
Molecule: small nucleolar RNA, 73 nt
Filed under: Buceros rhinoceros silvestris
Lineage: Eukaryota; Metazoa; Chordata; Aves; Bucerotiformes; Bucerotidae
Description: Small nucleolar RNA SNORA57
Source: Rfam by way of RNAcentral